UGCCAGCCGCCGCGGUAAUACGAGGGGUGCUAGCGUUGUCCGGAAUAACUGGGCGUAAAGGGUCCGUAGGCGUUUAAUUAAGUUGAUUGUUAAAUCCACCGGCUUAACCGGUGAUCUGCAGUCAAAACUGAUAAAAUAGAAUAUGUGAGAGGAAUGUGGAAUUCCUGGUGUAGCGGUGACAUGCGUAGAUAUCAGGAGGAACACCAAUGGCGAAGGCAGCAUUCUGGCACAAUAUUGACGCUGAGGGACGAAAGCGUGGGGAGCGAACAGGAUUAGAUA
This 279-nucleotide ribosomal RNA is filed under the name uncultured bacterium. RNAcentral's name for it is "partial 16S ribosomal RNA". It matches the Rfam family "Bacterial small subunit ribosomal RNA", at positions 506 to 784 of the family's 1533-position model. The record is from RNAcentral.